AACUACGGCCCGCGGGCCACAUCCGGCCCGUUAGGCUUUUUAAUCCGGCCCGCCGUACUUGUCCAAAUCGCGACUUUGUUUACUUCCGGUGUGCGUUGGCGCGGAAAGAACUCGUCACACGAAACCCUUCACCAUGAUUUGUCAAUCCGUUUGUCUGUCAAAAUUUCUCGAAAAAAACCAACCAAUGAACACUCAGUAAAUCACAAAGGACCCGCCCACCACACAGGUGGAGCUCAUUUAGAAACAGCCGCAGUGAUUUUGGCUAGCAGCGCGGAGCCUGGAGCAGCUGCAGAGCCACGAGGAGGAACACGCAGCUACAAGAGAGCCACUUGGACCGGAGAGGAUUCACCAGCGCCUGCAGCUCCACCUGCAGCUCCACCUGCCCGGCCAGCAGAGGUCUCGUGACACGAUGACAUGAUGUUAUUAUAGUGAAGACAUAUUGUAAAUAGUCAAUAGUUGUGUUCUGUUUUCUAUUUCUCAACAUGUAUAUAAUGUAGAUUUUCUUUUUUUUUAAUGUACAAUACAUAUUUAUAAAAAAUAAAUGAAUGUAAUGGUCA
Pseudoliparis swirei is the source of this 557-nucleotide long non-coding RNA. RefSeq lists it as uncharacterized. The transcript has 2 exons. The record is from RefSeq and is a predicted model, not a curated record. NCBI's taxonomy places the organism in Eukaryota, Metazoa, Chordata, Actinopteri, Perciformes, Liparidae.